This 528-nucleotide ribosomal RNA is filed under the name Cronobacter sakazakii. RNAcentral's name for it is "bacterial SSU rRNA". It matches the Rfam family "Bacterial small subunit ribosomal RNA", at positions 1 to 522 of the family's 1533-position model. The record is from RNAcentral. Lineage: Bacteria; Pseudomonadati; Pseudomonadota; Gammaproteobacteria; Enterobacterales; Enterobacteriaceae.
UGGAGAGUUUGAUCCUGGCUCAGAUUGAACGCUGGCGGCAGGCCUAACACAUGCAAGUCGAACGGUAACAGAGAGCAGCUUGCUGCUCUGCUGACGAGUGGCGGACGGGUGAGUAAUGUCUGGGAAACUGCCUGAUGGAGGGGGAUAACUACUGGAAACGGUAGCUAAUACCGCAUAACGUCUACGGACCAAAGUGGGGGACCUUCGGGCCUCAUGCCAUCAGAUGUGCCCAGAUGGGAUUAGCUAGUAGGUGGGGUAACGGCUCACCUAGGCGACGAUCCCUAGCUGGUCUGAGAGGAUGACCAGCCACACUGGAACUGAGACACGGUCCAGACUCCUACGGGAGGCAGCAGUGGGGAAUAUUGCACAAUGGGCGCAAGCCUGAUGCAGCCAUGCCGCGUGUAUGAAGAAGGCCUUCGGGUUGUAAAGUACUUUCAGCGGGGAGGAAGGCGUUGUGGUUAAUAACCGCAGCGAUUGACGUUACCCGCAGAAGAAGCACCGGCUAACUCCGUGCCAGCAGCCGCGGUA